RNAcentral lists this unclassified non-coding RNA (1272 nucleotides) under Hevea brasiliensis (rubber tree). Lineage: Eukaryota; Viridiplantae; Streptophyta; Magnoliopsida; Malpighiales; Euphorbiaceae. The record is from RNAcentral.
AAAAAAAAAAAAAAACUAAGAAAAUGCCCUCUUAAUUUCAAUUGUGUUAUGCAUUGUCAAUAAAGAAACUAGGAGUGGUUUCCUCAACCUUUACAUAGUGUUGCAUCACUAACAUAGACAUCUUACAAUCAUGAAACUUUGAUGAAUAAAGGAAAUCACCCAUCACACCUAGCUCUGAAUACUCUGCCCACUCUGUCAUUUCCUUCAAAAAUUUGAUUUGGGCAGGCUACCUUACCCACCACAAAAAGGUCAUAACUAUGUUCCAUUGAUUGAAUUGUAGCAAUCAAUCGUAAACUAUCAUUUACUACCACCUCAUGGCAAACAACACUAGAGUUCUUUACAUUUUUAUCCUUAAAUUCUUGGACUAAUAAGUCAUCUAAUCCAUUUCCAUCUCCUUUAAUGUCUACUUCAUCCAUUUUCAAGUAAAUUCUCAACAGGGUGAUGCUCACAUUUGAAUUUUCAGACAUCCUCAUUGCAAGUUUCAAGGCUUCAGAAUCAUCAGGACCACCCAUGAAGAUGACUAAUACAUUGCAAGAGAACUGACCUAAUAAGUUUUUUCGAGGUGGCAAUCCUUUUUGUACUAAGAUCCCAACAGUGCAAGGUGCAUUUGCUUGAAGCUGUGCAUUAAAACUCCGCAAGAGAUGACGGUUAUUAUCUUGUUGAUUUCCUAGGAAAGGUACGAUGAUGAAAGGAACUCUUCUAUCCUCUGCAUAGUUGCAAAUGAUGUUGUGCAUGGUCUUGAAUGGGGCAACCAAAACAAAUGGUCUUAACAAGACGGGACCAUGGGAGUUUCUUGAAUAAUUUGAAAAGGCAUGCAUAAUAUGAUCUGUUGAAUUGUUAGAUUUGAAACUCUUGCUGUGGCCACUGUAAGGUGUGAGCAAUGGAGCUGCUCUACCAGAAAGCUCGAUUGCAUGGAUGCUUAAAGGGCUAUUGACAGUUGGGUUGGAUGCUUCUAGUAGAGUAAUGAUGCUGUGGACAUUAUCUUCACCGUGAAUGCAGGUAAGAAUGUGAAAUUCUUCUGCAAAUGGAGUUGUUUGAAGUGUUCUUCUGUAUUUUUGUGGACAAGGAGAUUCGAUGAGUCUGAUUUCAGGUUUAUAGAAAAUGACUAGUAAACCACUGUAAAUUGCAGUCAUGAAAACGCUGCAUAGGACCAAUGCAGUAUACAUCCUCUCAUCUGCCAACUGCAAGCAAGGAAAAACAGAAAUUGUAAAUCAUUGUUAGAUACUUCAUUAUCAUGUAGUCAUUAAACUUAACUUCAUCUAUUGUCCUUGA